This 2014-nucleotide long non-coding RNA is filed under the name Vigna radiata. RNAcentral describes it as "long non-coding RNA (VRAD_LNC017420)". The record is from RNAcentral. Lineage: Eukaryota; Viridiplantae; Streptophyta; Magnoliopsida; Fabales; Fabaceae.
AAAAAUAAAAACAGAAAGAUAAAAACAGAAAGAUAUAUAGAAAGAAAGAUAGAUAGAAAGAUAGAAAGAUAAAGAGAUAGAAAGACAAAAAUUCUAAUCGGUUAAGAAUCACAUGUAAGAUUCGCAAUAAAUAAAAUAAUUAUUGAUUUUAGUAUUUUAUUUAAUUGCGUGAUUUAUAAUUUUACGUGGUCAAUUGUGAUGUGUUAUUGGAUAAUGAAAUUAUGGUAGAAUGAAUAUGAAUUUAUUUAAAUUUAGUUCUAUUAUUAUAUUUCAAAAUUUUUGAAGAAAAACCUAAAUACUAAUGUUUGUGUUAUUGCCUCAGAGAAUCUGAGUUGACCUGGUAAUAGAUGAAUGAGUUUCUGUGUGUACAUGAAUCGUGUUUAAUUUCCUACAGCCUAGUAAGGCUUUUCAUUUUGAUGAGGUAUGGUGGGGUCCACGAAAGUGUGAUUGGAAAAGAGGUGGAUCAUUAUGGUGUUAUGGGAAGUAAGAGAGAGAAAAGAGAAAAUUGUUUACUAUUUUUUUUUUGGAUACGUGAUAGGGUAGGAAAUAUAGGGGGGCCUUGGUCUUCGGUUUUAUUUAUUAAGUAAUUAUUUUGUUUGGAGAGUGGCAUGCAUGUAGAGGUAUUUUUUCUAACGGAUGCAACGGGAGAAAAUAAGGAAGUGGGUUUGGGCUUUAGGAUUUUUCUGAAGGCUUAUAAAUUAGCUUGGAGGAAAAGGAUAGAGUAAGAAAACAAAACCCUAGUUUUUGUGAGUGAAAAAUUAUGACUGGGAAGGAGAAGCAAGCAACAGCUGUGACAAGAAAGGUGAUCGUCAACGUUUUAUUUACAUCCGGAACAGUGAGGAAAUCCAAGGUAAGGGGAGUAACUAGUGUGUGUUUAUAUAUUGUGUGAUGUUCUUGAUCAUCUUAUUACUUUACUUUGAAUCUUUUCCCCUUGUGGUUAAGAUGGGGUAGCCCUUAUCAGGUUAAUUGGGAUACAUUCCAGACUUAGGAGAAAGUCAAUGAAAUAAAUGUAAAGAUGUAUGCGUGUUUGUAGUACGUGAAAGAAUAAGGAGAAGAAAGGAGGUUGCAUAUAGAAGGGUAUAACUUUCUUGGUAUAGCGGGAUCUGUUGCGAGUUAGUGGUACAAAGAUAGUUUAGGGUACGAGGAGUAGUUCAGGAAAUAUCAUGUGAAAGUAGGGUUUGGGAAUGUUGUUACAUUGCAUGGCGUGGUGAUAAAUGUUUUGUUUCUUUGAUUGUGAAACUGGUAGGGAGUAAACUGAAAUUCUCUGUGGUUGUAUAGGUUUUAAUCUUUGACUAUUAGUAAUGCUGGACGUGUAAUGUAUACCUAUUUAAAUAUGAGUGUAUGCUUCGUGAGAGAAUGGUGUAGUUGGAGGAGGGUCUGUGACCCUAUUCGAAUAAGGUGAAGGAGGAAAGGGUUGUUUGUGUGGCAUAUGAUGGAGAGAUGUGUAAGGGGUCAUAACAGUAGUAACAGAGAAAGAGAGAAUUUUUGGAGAAAGAUUUGGGUUGGAGUUUACGUUUACUAGUGGGGAAGUUGUCCGUAAGGAGGUUUAGUUUUCUCACAUUCUGCAUGGGAAGGAGAAGUUCUGCAUCAUGGGCGCGCUAUAGUUCACGUGAAUGAGAGUGUUGUAUGUUAGAAGGGAGGAUUGGUUGGGGGUUGAUUGAUGUCCAAGUUGUGUAUGUUGCAGUAAAUGAGAAACCAGUGAGUGUAUAAGAAGGAAAGGUGGUAGGUAUGGUAGAUAUUUUACAAUAGGAUGUAUCCAGUAAUUGGACUUUUGCAUGCAGAAUAUGAAAAAAAAAAAGGGGGUCACUUAGAUUGAAGUAUAAGGAAAAGGUAAAAGGGUAUGAACCUUUCAUUUGCCACGGUCAUUUCAAUCCUAAAAAGGCUUUACUAGUUUAGCUCCAGAGAAUAAUAUACUUAAGUUGAUAUAAUAUAAUAUAUUAAUAUAUUUUGAAUUUAUAAGUAUAUAAGUAAGCAACAAGUAGUUACGUAACUUAACAAUAUUAUAAUAUAAGUU